Siniperca chuatsi (mandarin fish) is the source of this 2085-nucleotide long non-coding RNA. RefSeq lists it as uncharacterized. The record is from RefSeq and is a predicted model, not a curated record. Lineage: Eukaryota; Metazoa; Chordata; Actinopteri; Centrarchiformes; Sinipercidae. The transcript has 2 exons.
CACACACACACACACACACACACACACACACACACCUCCUUUAGACAGGAUGGCGGGCCAAACGUUAAUCAUAUAAAACCAAGUUUAUCAUUUACAUUCUGGAGUUAGUUUCGUUUUAAAUUAAGAACAAAGUUAAAGAUGUGAGUACAGGGAUGAACUCAGGACAAGAAACCCACUGAACUUGAAAGAAACCACCAAUAUGCUAAAGAAAGGGUAGUUUGCAGUGCUAUGGAGGCUAAUUUUACUUAUAUUAUUUAUCGUUUGCCCUACACCAUAUAUCUAUGGCCUUAUAUUUUUAUACAAUAGUUUCCACCGGUUCAAUCAUCAAUCACUCCAAACCUACAAGAGGGUAUUUCUAGUGACCGGGGUCGAAUCAGUUACCAGUUGUACUGACACUGACAGCCAAAGGCCAUGGUAUGGUCCGAGUCUUGUCCAAACAGCAGAGUACAACGCAGCGCGCACACGCUGCAGUCGAGAGUUGACCAGAAAGGAGUGAAUGAAGAUAGUUGCUAUGGCAACAGCAAUACCUCUAUGGAUGACAGGUGUUUCAUGAUUGUUUUUUACGUAACAAAACAUUGGUAAACAUACGUUAAAAUACCCUCUAUCCUUAAAAUGAAGCAAAUAUACAGCCUUGUAUAGUUAAAUUGUUUGCUACAGCUACGGUGCCGUGGAUUUGUCGAUAUUUGCAAUAAACUCCUCCAAUGCCAUAAUGUUUCCACAGAUGUACUUUACAUAAGCAUAUGUGAAACAUUUGUUGCUGCAGCUGCAGCUCUGCAACAAUGUCUCCCAGAGGCAGCACGUAAUUGUUCAGUUUUAUCGUGGGCGUUGCUGUGCCUGUAACAACCUCCCCUAUUCUUUCUAGAUGCAAGCUAAUUCUUGCACUGAGCAUUUUCAAGGUACAUUUAAGGUUCAAGGUACAUUUGUUUGUCAUUCUACAACACAGGGCUGCACAAUGAAAUUAAAGUUGUAGCCCCCUUCACGCUAGUUAAUUAUUAGUUAGUGUCAAUGUGGUCAUUUUUAACUGUUUAACUGUAACUGCAUUAUUUUAUAAUGGAGCACAUGUGUUACCAAAUAGUUUUAGCUGAAGCUUAACAGUGAAAUGAAAUGACUGCAGUUGCUUGGUAUAGAAAAGCAUGUAAACACUGUCUUGUCACUGCUGCCCAAAUAAAGCAAGGCAUCUCUUUAUGAUACAUUUUAUGCAUAUUGCAUAACCAUAUGAUAUGUCUUUAGUAAUAUGUGUAAAAGGAAUAUGUUUGUAGUAUAAAACAUUUGUCAUCAAAGCAAAAUUAGCCAAAGGUCACACAGGGACACAACACAGUUAUUUAGUUAUUUUCAUUUGAUGACUUGCACAGUGAUGGUUCUGCACUGUUUGCUGCAGGUGAGGCUUACCCAGCCACAGUCUUACCAGAGAUAUGAAUGAAUAAUGGAUAUUAUAAGGAGGUUUGUCCUCAAGACAUGCAGUGACAGCAGACAGUGUUAUACUAAUAUACUGAUAAUGACAUUUCGACAUAUGCCUUGUAGACAAACAGCAAAGAUUAAGAAGUAUAACAUGAAAUUUAAAGUCCAGACCAAAAUAAGCUGCUGUCAACAUGUUUUUGAGUAUGUAUCAUUUCACACUGAAAACCAUUUCUACUAUAUUGCGCUUGCAUUUUCUUUGGCAAUAUCACCACAGAAAAAGGGGCUCAAAUGUAAACACCUUUUAUUUUUCUACAGUUAACCUGGCGAAAUAUUUUGUUUAGUUUGUUAGACAAAAUGCAAAUGUGCAUACUGAAUUUAAUAAAUUUCUUUCUUUGGCAUGCAUAAAAAUUGCUUCGACAACACAGAUGUGUGGACCGCUACCACAACUACAAUCAUACUGACAUUGACAUACAGUACAGGUACAACAUAAUCACAUCCACUGUAAAUACAGUUCACAUAUGUCAUUCCUACUGUAUGAUCUAAGGGCAAUAUGGAUUUGGGCAAAUAACAUAUAUGAAAUGUAUUUCAGAGUUCUGUUUCUCAUUAAUAUCAGAGAUCUGCUUCUUCGUUGCAUGUAGUUGUCAGACAGUGAUGCUUUUACAGGACUUGACUGGCACAUUGAAAAAU